AUGAGUUCUUGCUUCUCUCAAGAGCAAGUGGUGCGGAUGGGACUCUCUCCCGCCUGGUUUCCAAUUUCCAGUCAAAGAAUUGGUGGCGAGCCUGAGU
This 97-nucleotide non-coding RNA is filed under the name unclassified sequences. RNAcentral describes it as "wcaG RNA". It matches the Rfam family "wcaG RNA". The record is from RNAcentral.